RNAcentral lists this long non-coding RNA (200 nucleotides) under Lathyrus oleraceus (garden pea). RNAcentral describes it as "Pisum sativum (pea) long non-coding RNA (PSAT_LNC020888)". The record is from RNAcentral. Lineage: Eukaryota; Viridiplantae; Streptophyta; Magnoliopsida; Fabales; Fabaceae.
UAAUUCAUUAAUUAUAUUUUUAUGUUUGACAAGACCUUCGGACUUUUAACCUACGUACCAAUAUAAAAAUGAGGGAUCAAAACCUCGUAGUUCGUGAUACAAAUUUCAAAGUGGGUGCAUUACUUUUAACAAAACUUAAGUUUGAAAGGCACAAAGGCUUAAAAAUGGGUUGAAUGAGUUAGUUCUUUUUUUGGCUUUUG